RNAcentral lists this unclassified non-coding RNA (339 nucleotides) under uncultured Naumovozyma. RNAcentral describes it as "sequence contains ITS2". The stretch from base 1 to 52 matches the Rfam family "5.8S ribosomal RNA", at positions 103 to 154 of the family's 154-position model. The record is from RNAcentral. Lineage: Eukaryota; Fungi; Ascomycota; Saccharomycetes; Saccharomycetales; Saccharomycetaceae.
AACGCACAUUGCGCCCCUUGGUAUUCCAGGGGGCAUGCCUGUUUGAGCGUCAUUUCCUUCUCAAAGAACUCUUCUUUGGUAGUGAGUGACACUCUUUCUAGAGUUAACUUGAAAUUGCUAGCCAUAUAAUAGCUGUUGAUUGCUGACUUUGGACGGAGCGAUUUGUCCAGUCUGCUGAUACCGAUUGUCGUAUUAGGUUUUACCAACUUCGACGGACGUAGUGUUAGUGGGCGUUACUACGACUCUUUGCGAAACCCAAUGGAAAGCGAGCCGACGCAUUGGCGAACAAUACUCUUUAAGUUUGACCUCAAAUCAGGUAGGAAUACCCGCUGAACUUAA